Molecule: ribosomal RNA, 320 nt
Filed under: uncultured Lachnospiraceae bacterium
Lineage: Bacteria; Bacillati; Bacillota; Clostridia; Lachnospirales; Lachnospiraceae
Description: bacterial SSU rRNA
Rfam family: Bacterial small subunit ribosomal RNA
Source: RNAcentral
UGGGGAAUAUUGCACAAUGGGGGGAAACCCUGAUGCGGCGACGCCGCGUGAGUGAAGAAGUAUUUCGGUAUGUAAAGCUCUAUCAGCAGGGAAGAAAAUGACGGUACCUGACUAAGAAGCCCCGGCUAACUACGUGCCAGCAGCCGCGGUAAUACGUAGGGGGCAAGCGUUAUCCGGAUUUACUGGGUGUAAAGGGAGCGUAGACGGAAUAGCAAGUCAGAUGUGAAAGGCAGGGGCUUAACCCCUGGACUGCAUUUGAAACUGUCAUUCUGGAGUGCCGGAGAGGUAAGCGGAAUUCCUAGUGUAGCGGUGAAAUGCGU